Molecule: ribosomal RNA, 668 nt
Filed under: uncultured fungus
Lineage: Eukaryota; Fungi
Description: eukaryotic LSU rRNA
Rfam family: 5.8S ribosomal RNA (bases 299-453)
Source: RNAcentral
AAGUCGUAACAAGGUUUCCGUAGGUGAACCUGCGGAAGGAUCAUUACCGAGUUAGAAGGAGAGGAUUAUCCCCCUUUUCCUUCGAACCUCCCAACCCUGUGUUAAACAAACCUAUAACGUGUUGCUUCGGUGGACCGGUGGUCCCGCCAGAUCGCCGCCGGGGCACUUCGGUCCCUGGAGAGAUUGUCCAUCGAACGCCCAACCUCCCAAAUUCAAACCACAAAUACCUAGAGGAUUUCGGUCCUCACCUUCUGAAUCAAACAUCGUUUUUGAUAUCUGAUCAAAAAUUAUAAACCAAAACUUUCAACAACGGAUCUCUUGGUUCUGGCAUCGAUGAAGAACGCAGCGAAAUGCGAUAAGUAAUGCGAAUUGCAGAAUUUCCGUGAGUCAUCGAAUCUUUGAACGCACAUUGCGCCCUUUGGCAUUCCGAAGGGCAUGCCUGUUCGAGCGUCAUUAUCCUCCCUCAAACCUCUUGGUUUGGCGUUGGACCACGUCGACUGUUCACACGGUCGACCGGUCUCAAAGACAAUGACGGCGUCCGGGGGACCCUCUUCGCACUGAGCUUCUUCGGAGCACGCGGGGAGUGUCAAGGUCCCCGGGGCCCGGUCACACCUAUUUACUUUUUCUAGGUUGACCUCGGAUCAGGUAGGAAUACCCGCUGAACUUAA